Molecule: ribosomal RNA, 468 nt
Filed under: uncultured bacterium
Lineage: Bacteria
Description: partial 16S ribosomal RNA
Rfam family: Bacterial small subunit ribosomal RNA
Source: RNAcentral
GACGAACGCUGGCGGCGUGCUUAACACAUGCAAGUCGAACGGAAAGGCCCUGCUUUUGUGGGGGGCUCGAGUGGCGAACGGGUGAGUAACACGUGAGUAACCUGCCCUUGACUUUGGGAUAACUUCAGGAAACUGGGGCUAAUACCGGAUAGGUGCUCCUGCUGCAUGGUGGGGGCUGGAAAGCUUCGGCGGUUGGGGAUGGACUCGCGGCUUAUCAGCUUGUUGGUGGGGUAGUGGCUUACCAAGGCCUUGACGGGUAGCCGGCCUGAGAGGGUGACCGGCCACAUUGGGACUGAGAUACGGCCCAGACUCCUACGGGAGGCAGCAGUGGGGAAUAUUGCACAAUGGGCGGAAGCCUGAUGCAGCGACGCCGCGUGCGGGAUGACGGCCUUCGGGUUGUAAACCGCUUUCGCCUGUGACGAAGCGUGAGUGACGGUAAUGGGUAAAGAAGCACCGGCUAACUACGUG